Molecule: ribosomal RNA, 488 nt
Filed under: uncultured bacterium
Lineage: Bacteria
Description: bacterial SSU rRNA
Rfam family: Bacterial small subunit ribosomal RNA
Source: RNAcentral
GGAUGAACGCUAGCUACAGGCUUAACACAUGCAAGUCGAGGGGCAGCAUUGGAGUAGCAAUACUUCAGAUGGCAACCGGCGCACGGGUGAGUAACACGUAUCCAACCUGCCGCUUACUCGGGGAUAGCCUUUCGAAAGAAAGAUUAAUACCCGAUGGUAUAAAGAGUUCGCAUGUUCUCUUUAUUAAAGAAUUUCGGUAAGCGAUGGGGAUGCGUUCCAUUAGAUAGUUGGCGGGGUAACGGCCCACCAAGUCUACGAUGGAUAGGGGUUCUGAGAGGAAGGUCCCCCACAUUGGAACUGAGACACGGUCCAAACUCCUACGGGAGGCAGCAGUGAGGAAUAUUGGUCAAUGGACGAGAGUCUGAACCAGCCAAGUAGCGUGAAGGAUGACUGCCCUAUGGGUUGUAAACUUCUUUUAUAAGGGAAUAAAGUGAGGGACGUGUCCCUUUUUGUAUGUACCUUAUGAAUAAGGAUCGGCUAACUCCGUG